AUGGGCUUCAACGGCGUUCGGUCGGCGUUCGCCAAUAUCGAGCGCGAAUUUGAUGGCGGCGUAAACGCGGCAGUGCGAAUCCGCCAGGCUCUG
Molecule: transfer RNA, 93 nt
Filed under: Sphingobium sp. S6
Lineage: Bacteria; Pseudomonadati; Pseudomonadota; Alphaproteobacteria; Sphingomonadales; Sphingobiaceae
Description: tRNA-Ile(aat)
Source: RNAcentral